CCCUUAGAUGUCCUGGGCCGCACGCGCGCUACACUGAACGGAUCAGCGCGUUUUCCCUUCCCGAGAGGGACGGGUAACCUGCUGAACCCCGUUCGUGGUAGGGAUCGGGGCUUGCAAUUAUUCCCCGUGAACCAGGAAUGCCCAGUAAGUGCAAGUCAUAAGCUUGCGUUGAUUACGUCCCUGCCCUUUGUACACACCGCCCGUCGCUACUACCGAUUGAACGUUUUAGUGAGGUACCCGGACUGAGCCUCAGAAGAUUCACGUCUUUUGUGCUGCUCGGGAAGAUUCCCAAACUUGAGCGUUUAGAGGAAGUAAAAGUCGUAACA
Molecule: ribosomal RNA, 326 nt
Filed under: uncultured eukaryote
Lineage: Eukaryota
Description: partial 18S ribosomal RNA
Rfam family: Eukaryotic small subunit ribosomal RNA
Source: RNAcentral